GCCCGCCGGUUCGCAUCAAUCGCGACCAUCCACGGCCGCAGUAGCUCCAUAGAACACAGCUCCUGGGGGUCGCCAUCUUGACAGAACUCACCAAGAAUGAGGAGAGCGCAAGGCGAGUUCCCAAUCACCUCUCAGCAGCCAUGUCUCAAUCCUGCCAGCCAGUAGUACAACUACAACUGGCAAGUAAUUCUUGUUUUUGGCUUUGGAACCGGAAAAAUCCUCAAGGCUGGCUUGGAGCUCACCAUCCUCCUGUCUCAGCCUCUCCAGUGCUGAUUGUAAUAUCAUGUGCCACUCCACUCAAAUUUGCUUGAUCUUUAAAAUGCAGAUUCCUACCUAGCAAGAGUGAGGCCCUGGGUUGAAUACCCAGUACCAAGAUGCAAUGGGGAGUAAAAUUCCCCGGCCCGGACUACCAGUGAUUUUUAAUGAGUAUAUCUGGCACUGAUAUAGGACCUCUAAAUGAUAGAAAGGAAAUAAAACUCUCAACUUGUUGGAUGUCUGAUAUGCUGAGUUUGUGUCCCCCAAAAUCAAACAAUGAAUUUUAAGGAAAAACAAUAGUAAAUUUUAUUG
Chinchilla lanigera (long-tailed chinchilla) is the source of this 567-nucleotide long non-coding RNA. RefSeq lists it as uncharacterized. The record is from RefSeq and is a predicted model, not a curated record. Lineage: Eukaryota; Metazoa; Chordata; Mammalia; Rodentia; Chinchillidae. The transcript is spliced from 3 exons.